UACGUAGGGGGCGAGCGUUGUCCGGAUUUAUUGGGCGUAAAGAGCUCGUAGGCGGCUUGGCAAGUCGGGUGUGAAAACUCCAGGCUCAACCUGGAGAUGCCACUCGAGACUGCUAUGGCUAGAGUCCGGUAGGGGACCACGGAAUUCCUGGUGUAGCGGUGAAAUGCGCAGAUAUCAGGAGGAACACCGGUGGCGAAGGCGGGUCUCUGGGCCGAUAUUGACGCUGAGGAGCGAAAGCGUGGGGAGCGAACAGG
RNAcentral lists this ribosomal RNA (254 nucleotides) under uncultured bacterium. Its description in RNAcentral is "partial 16S ribosomal RNA". It matches the Rfam family "Bacterial small subunit ribosomal RNA", at positions 524 to 776 of the family's 1533-position model. The record is from RNAcentral.